GAUGAAGAACGUAGCGAAAUGCGAUAAGUAGUGUGAAUUGCAGAAUUCAGUGAAUCAUCGAAUCUUUGAACGCACAUUGCGCCCGCCAGUAUUCUGGCGGGCAUGCCUGUUCGAGCGUCAUUUCAACCAUCAAGCCCCCCGGCUUGUGUUGGGGACCUGCGGCUGCCGCAGGCCCUGAAAAGCAGUGGCGGGCUCGCUGUCACACCGAGCGUAGUAGAUCUCAUCUCGCUCAGGGCGUGCUGCGGGUUCCGGCCGUUAAACCACCUUCAUAACCCAAGGUUGACCUCGGAUCAGGUAGGAAGACCCGCUGAACUUAAGCAUAUCAAUAAGCGGAGGA
RNAcentral lists this unclassified non-coding RNA (337 nucleotides) under soil metagenome. RNAcentral describes it as "partial contains 5.8S ribosomal RNA, internal transcribed spacer 2, and large subunit ribosomal RNA". The stretch from base 1 to 120 matches the Rfam family "5.8S ribosomal RNA", at positions 35 to 154 of the family's 154-position model. The record is from RNAcentral.